Dreissena polymorpha is the source of this 1110-nucleotide long non-coding RNA. RefSeq lists it as uncharacterized. The record is from RefSeq and is a predicted model, not a curated record. Lineage: Eukaryota; Metazoa; Mollusca; Bivalvia; Myida; Dreissenidae. The transcript is spliced from 4 exons.
AUACACCCUUUCAGUUAUUCGCUUUUACUAGUGUUAGAGUUGUGUCCCUUAGCCGGAUGUGACGUCAACGGGGGAUAGAAAUUCGCCAGAGAAAAUAAAAUUUUACUGUGUCGCUGAAGAAAUCAACGUCUUUAGCACAAUAUAUGCGAAUCAUCCCAAAUGCUAUGUUCAGAAACAGUGAAGUACCAUGGCUGAACCAGAUCCUGUAACAGAAAAGAAAGUACAACAGUACACGACUGUGAUUGUCAUAAGCUGUAUGCCAAGGAUGUCCCUGGCGCUGUUUUACCGCAACUUCAACCAGAAAGAUGCAAAGUUACAGAGUUGCGAAUAUGGUUGAAAUGCCGGGGACAAGCUGUGAAAUCGAAUGAGACAAAAGCCGAACUUUGCUUGAGGGUAAAGAAAUUCAGUGACAACCAGGAUAACAUCCUAAUUGUGGAUCCUUAUCCAGACCAGCCAUUUGCAGCUAAGCAGAAGUCGUCCUGUAUGAACUGUCAAGGACAAUCAACAGUGUCAACAGCGGAAGAACAUCUUAAUUUGGAAGAAUGCACAUGGACCCAAAGCACCAGACCGAUCUUCAAAGACUUUUCGUACAUGAACAUUCUGGAAUGGACCAAAAGUUCUGGUAAAGGUUCAAAACUGGGUGUUGAAAAGCCUAUUCAACGAGGCUAUGUGUUUUUUCAUGACGGUUAUGUAUUCGACACAUGGACAUCUGAACGUAACAGUUCAACAAUUGUUAGAUGCAAGUGUUUCCGCUCCAUGAAAAACCGGUAAUCAGAAAUAAAGAGUAUUGAAAUAAUCUAAAUUAUAUUUGAAAGUAUUCAAUUUUGUGUUAUUUUAGUGUCAGUAUUUGUGAGAUUCACCUCAAAUCACAUUUAUUUAUUCAAUAUAAUCAUAGGAUCUCAGCUUAUUUUGGUGCAAUACCUGUAUCUGAAUGUUUGUAAUUUUCAGAUUGUGUUUCCUUAAAUUAGUUUAUGAUUUCUAGCUUUCACAUGUUGUCUUUCAUCAUUAAUCUUACAAUUAAUGAUACUUCAUACUGUUUUGUGAUGAACUAUGCUACUCAAAUGUGCUUAUCUUGCAUUAUUUCUGUUGUAAUAAAGCUUAUAUCAUUGA